GAUGAACGCUGGCGGCGUGCCUAACACAUGCAAGUCGAGCGAACAGACGAGUAGUUUGCUCCUCUGACGUUAGCGGCGGACGGGUGAGUAACACGUGGACAACCUCUCUAUAAGACUGUGAUAACUCCGGGACACCGGUGCUAAUACCUGCUAAUAUCUUGAACCGCAUGGUUCAAUAGUGAACGACGGUUUUGCUGUUACUUAUUGAUGGAUUCGCUCCGGAUUAGCUAGUUAGUAAGGUAACGGCUUACCAAGGCAACGAUGCGUAGCCGACCUGAGAGGGUGAUCGGCCACACUGGAACUGAGACACGGUCCAGACUCCUACGGGAGGCAGCAGUAGGGAAUUUUGCGCAAUGGGCGAAAGCUUGACGGAGCAACGCCGCGUGUGUGAUGAAGGUCUUCGGAUCGUAAAGCACUGUUAUUAGGGAAGAACACAUGUGUAAGUAAAUAUGCACGGCUUGACGGUACCGGAAGAAAAAGCCACGGCUAACUACGUG
This 497-nucleotide ribosomal RNA is filed under the name uncultured bacterium. RNAcentral describes it as "partial 16S ribosomal RNA". It matches the Rfam family "Bacterial small subunit ribosomal RNA", at positions 28 to 507 of the family's 1533-position model. The record is from RNAcentral.